RNAcentral lists this ribosomal RNA (498 nucleotides) under uncultured bacterium. Its description in RNAcentral is "partial 16S ribosomal RNA". It matches the Rfam family "Bacterial small subunit ribosomal RNA", at positions 28 to 507 of the family's 1533-position model. The record is from RNAcentral.
GACGAACGCUGGCGGCGUGCCUAAUACAUGCAAGUCGAACGAGAGCGACCGGUGCUUGCACUGGUCAAUCUAGUGGCGAACGGGUGAGUAACACGUGGGUAACCUGCCCAUCAGAGGGGGAUAACAUCCGGAAACGGAUGCUAAAACCGCAUAGGUCUUCGAACCGCAUGGUUUGAAGAGGAAAAGAGGCGCAAGCUUCUGCUGAUGGAUGGACCCGCGGUGCAUUAGCUAGUUGGUGAGGUAACGGCUCACCAAGGCCGUGAUGCAUAGCCGACCUGAGAGGGUGAUCAGCCACAUUGGGACUGAGACACGGCCCAAACUCCUACGGGAGGCAGCAGUAGGGAAUCUUCCGCAAUGGACGCAAGUCUGACGGAGCAACGCCGCGUGAGUGAAGAAGGUUUUCGGAUCGUAAAACCCUGUUGUUAGAGAAGAACAAGUGCUAGAGUAACUGUUAGCGCCUUGACGGUAUCUAACCAGAAAGCCACGGCUAACUACGUG